ACUAGGGUGGCAGAACAUGGACAUGCUAAAGACCUAAGCCCUUUAAACAGAGGUUCAAAUCCUCUCCCUAAUU
RNAcentral lists this transfer RNA (73 nucleotides) under Syngnathus rostellatus (Nilsson's pipefish). RNAcentral's name for it is "tRNA-Leu". It matches the Rfam family "tRNA". From Rfam's summary of the family: Transfer RNA (tRNA) molecules are approximately 80 nucleotides in length. The record is from RNAcentral. Lineage: Eukaryota; Metazoa; Chordata; Actinopteri; Syngnathiformes; Syngnathidae. RNAcentral also lists the same sequence under 1 other name.